This 841-nucleotide ribosomal RNA is filed under the name uncultured Antarctic soil bacterium. RNAcentral's name for it is "bacterial SSU rRNA". It matches the Rfam family "Bacterial small subunit ribosomal RNA", at positions 22 to 886 of the family's 1533-position model. The record is from RNAcentral.
UUUUUGGCUGACGCUCUCGUUUUGCUUGCACAUGCACGUCGAGGGGUAACAUUGGUCGCUUGCACCAGAUGACGACCGGCGCACGGGUGAGUAACGCUGUAUACAAUCUACCUAUUACUGGGGUAUAGCCCGGAGAAAUUUGGAUUAACCCCCCAAGGUAUGUAAAAGUGGCAUCACUUUUACAUUAAAAUUACGGUGGUAAUAGAUGAGUAUGCGUCCCAUUAGUUAGUUGGUAAGGUAACGGCUUACCAAGGCAGCGAUGGGUAGGGGUCCUGAGAGGGAGAUCCCCCACACUGGUACUGAGACACGGACCAGACUCCUACGGGAGGCAGCAGUGAGGAAUAUUGGACAAUGGAGGCAACUCUGAUCCAGCCAUGCCGCGUGCAGGAAGACUGCCCUAUGGGUUGUAAACUGCUUUUACAGAGGAAGAACCGCACCCACGUGUGGGUGUUUGACGGUACUCUGCGAAUAAGGAUCGGCUAACUCCGUGCCAGCAGCCGCGGUAAUACGGAGGAUCCAAGCGUUAUCCGGAAUCAUUGGGUUUAAAGGGUCCGUAGGCGGGACAAUAAGUCAAGUGGUGAAAGUCUGCAGCUUAACUGUAGAACUGCCAUUGAAACUGUAGUCCUUGAGUCAUUAUGAAGUGGUUAGAAUGAGUAGUGUAGCGGUGAAAUGCAUAGAUUUACUCAGAAUCCGUUGCGAAGCAGGUCACUAUAAUGUCUGCCCUUAUGGACGAACCUAGUGCGACAGGAUAGAUCCCUGGUAGCUCCCCGUAAACAUGGUACUACUUUCCGGCCAUUGAGGGUGGGUGGUAAGCAAAGUAAAAUACCCCUGGGAGUCCUUC